GAAGAAAGUUAGUAUAAAAUGAAACAAGUAAAUACAAGAGUUGUCAGACGUGUCGGUUUCCUUAGAACGAGAUAAUAAAAUAUUCGAAGGUAAGCGAGUGAGUGAAGUCUAUUGGACAAUUUCUAAAGUCGUCACUAAUCGCUGAUUGGCCAAAGGCGUGUAGCAUUUCCAAACGGCAAAUACCAAUGAGAAAAGAAAGUUUGAUACGAUGAGUAAUGGUGCACGUUACGUGAAUCAAACUGAAUAAGCUUGUAUGGAAUAAAACUUUUGUUUGUAUUGUAAUGUGUAAACGGUAAUUUUGAUAAUACAAAAAAAUAUAGGAAUAAUAAUGAGUGAUAAAACGUUACUUGAUAUUGAUGAUACUAUACUGACGAAAAGUUUAUUGUUGUCCAAAAAUAAAGAUGAUUAUGAAAUGGAUGACAUAUUAAAGGAACAGUUUGAAAGAAAAUCUAAUAAAUGCAUUAUCAUUCAUCCUUUACCUGGGGUUUGCGUGAAAACAAAAACGGAUGCAGGCGAGAAAGUGUUCCUAAAUAUAUGUACGACGACUAAAAUACCUCAUCCGGAGGAUAUAUCGGAAGAGAAACUAAUGUCCCUUUUGGAUCAAGAAACACCCGAUCAUUCUAUACCAAUGAGUAUCGGUGAAGAGAGAUUAGAAUCCGAUAAAGGUGGUACCUUAUGCGUGACCCAUGACGUUGCAAUAAAUAAGGAUUAUUUCGACAAGUGUCAAACUAAACAAUGUUUCUGGUUAUUUACAAUAUCUGUCAUAAUGGAAGGCGUAUCGCAUAAAUUUGGUAGAUGUUUGGAUUCGAAAACAUGUAUUAUUCUUAAAAACCGAAAAGUCAUGGGUACGAUUCAACCGCAGCGUAUCGACGAUCGUGAAGCGCGUAAAGUAUUGCCGGCUUCUAAAAGGCCAUUGAUUCAAGAAAUAUCGAGCUCAUCAAAGACCGACUGUAAUCGGUCGGCCAGUUCGGCACAACAACAACUCCAAAGUAAUCGUGAGGAAUUUAUGACAUACGAUUACGUGAUAUUGAAAGAACCUUCGAAAGGAAUUGCAAGACGUUUAAUCGCUUUAUUUCAUAUACCUAAGGGGGUAGUAUCUGGUAAAGAUAUAAACGUGCUCGCCGACACUGAUCAUAUAAUUGUUACAACGAAUGAAAACAAUUUCGCAUAUGACGUUUAUAUACCUUAUACGAUAAAGUUGAACGAAACGGAGAGCUUCUUUGAUAAAGAUUUCAGAAAAGGGAAAAUUAAUAGAGCAAUGUAUGGGACGAAAAGAGAAGAGCGCACUAAGAUAAUACACAAGUAUGAAUGUUGAACUGGGGAAAAAGUACGAAAUCAAAAAUAAAGAUUAACCUUGAUGAAAAGGAUUUUCAUCUCUACUUCCGGCACACUGUUAAAUGCUAUUUAUGGUAUUCCACAUGCAUGCACACCAAUAACUGUUAUUAUCAUUCUCUCAACAGAGAUGAUAGUACAGAUUGAUUACUUCUCACUCUCCAUUAGCUCGUUGGGAUUGACUUUAAGGACGGCACAUAUUACGGUAUAACAAAGGGAUUUACAAAUAGCCUUAGUUCCAAUGACACUAGAGAAACCGAGUAUUGUCCUAAGGAUCAUACAUCCUGACAUACGAUAGGACGGCCAAAUAAUAUCGUACGGUGGUGGAAGUAGCGAAAGUGAAAGGGCGCCUGUCUUGUAAUUUAACCACGCCCCCGCAUGAACCCCGGCAGUUACAGAAACAACCAUAGUCGUGUCACCGCUGAAAAUACAUACAUUGCAUAUGAGGACAUUUUACAAUGAAAGGAAAGAUUUUCAUUCCCUUACCGAGUUGGUGUCCAUUUGUUGCUACAGGGAUAAUAUACCACAGCGGUGACGCUAAUUAAUAUUAAAAGCGUUAAUACCCAUAAAUUAGUAACAAUAUAAUAAUCUAAAGCAUCUACUGUCGGUAUCAAUGGAAUCAUUAGCAUAAUAGCUAAUAUUAUUCCUGCCGCAAUGUCCAAUACCGUAUGCAUUCCCAAAUAAAGUCGACUGGUGCAUACGAGCGUGCACCUAUAAAACGUGAAAUAUAUUAAAUGAGCCGGCCGAUUGAGGAAAGAGGAAGAGAAAAGGAUAAAUAAAUAAGUAAAUAAAUAAAUAAAUAAAUAAAUAAAUUGAAUUUAAUCGCAUUGUACUUACCAGAAGAAAGCUAUUGUAGAACCAAUUGGAAACGAAUAGAUGUAUCUAUUCAUGGUAAAUAUCAGUACGCUAAAAGGAAUUGAAAUUCCGAUCAUGGCGUGAGUCGACGGCAUCCCAUAUUCUUCUGACCAUUUAUUUUGCAAUCUGACGGCUGGCGGACAAGCCGGCCUUGGCCAACGAAUAACAUCUUUCAAUGCUUGUCCUAUAAGAUAAUAAUAAUAAUAAUAAUAAUAAUAAUACGAUUUCGAAAUCGAAUAUUGUGAGAAUAAUCUCUGUAAAAUAUAUGUUAAAUGUAUAACUUUACCAAUGCUCAUAACGAUGGCCCAUACUAAGACAACUCUACGGCCAACUGCGCCAUCAAUAUUCCAAAACCAAAAGGGUAUGAAUGCGGAAUAAAAAAUUUCAUCCCCUAAUUCUGUACCAAAUAAAAACAAGUAAUACCAAAAACGAUUCUUAAUGAUAAAUUCUUGAGAUUUUAAUUUCAUUAAGCAUCUAUUAGAAGAACAUUCAAGAUCAUUCAAGGAAGAUUCUUUGGAGAAUGACAUAUCCGCUUUAAUAUAUCCAUUUUGUUCCUUAUUAUCGGAUAACCUAUGAAAAUAAAAUUGUCAAAUUUAUAUCGAAAUUAAA
Vespa velutina is the source of this 2796-nucleotide RNA transcript. It is a transcript of the gene named PIH1 domain-containing protein 1-like, with no coding region annotated. The record is from RefSeq and is a predicted model, not a curated record. Lineage: Eukaryota; Metazoa; Arthropoda; Insecta; Hymenoptera; Vespidae. The transcript has 9 exons.